RNA transcript from Mastomys coucha (southern multimammate mouse), 1125 nucleotides. It is a transcript of the gene named anaphase-promoting complex subunit 2 pseudogene, with no coding region annotated. The transcript has 3 exons. The record is from RefSeq and is a predicted model, not a curated record. Lineage: Eukaryota; Metazoa; Chordata; Mammalia; Rodentia; Muridae.
AUGGGCUUCACAGAAGGUAACCAGGCAACUAAGCUGAGGGCUAAUUUGGAGAUGUUGAUCAAAGAUGACAAGCAACAGUGCUGGUGCCGGCAGGCACUGGAGCAGUUCAACCAGCUCAGCCAGGUCCUGCAUAGGCUCAGUCUGUUGGAGCGGGUUUGCGCUGAGGCCAUGACAACCACGCUGCAUCAGGUGAGCCGGGAGAGGAUGGAAGACCGCUGCCGAGGAGAGUAUGAGCGCUCUUUCUUGCGUGAGUUUCACAAGUGGAUAGAGAGAGUGGUUGGUUGGCUUGGCAAAGUGUUCCUUCAGGACAACCCCACCAGACCAACUUCUCCAGAAGCUGGGAACACACUGCGUCGUUGGCGGUGCCACGUACAGAGAUUCCUCUACCGUAUCUAUGCCAGCCUACGCAUUGAGGAGCUUUUCAGCAUCAUCCGAGACUUCCCAGACUCUCGGCCAGCCAUUGAGGAUCUUAAGUACUGCUUGGAGAGGACUGAUCAGAGGCAGCAUCUCCUUGUGUCCCUCAAGGUGGCCCUAGAGACUCAACUCCUCCACUCAGGUGUCAACACAUGUAACAUCAUCACUCUCUACAUUUCUGCCAUCAAGGCAUUACGUGUGCUAGAUCCCUCUAUGGUCAUCCUAGAGGUGGCUUGUGAGCCUAUCCGUCGCUACCUGAGGACACGAGAGGACACAGUACGGCAGAUUGUGGCUGGGCUAACCGGGGACUCAGAUGGAACUGGAGACUUGGCUGUUGAGCUAUCUAAGACUGACCCGGCCUGCCUGGAGACUGGUCAGGACAGUGAGGAUGAUUCUGGUGAGCCCGAGGACUGGGUCCCUGACCCCGUGGAUGCUGAUCCAGUCAAGUCGAGUUCCAAGCGACACUCUUCAGACAUCAUCAGCCUGCUGGUCAGCAUCUAUGGCAGCAAAGACCUCUUUAUCAAUGAGUACCACUCACUACUUGCGGAUCGCCUCCUCCACCAAUUCAGCUUCAGCCCUGAGAGGGAGAUUCGUAAUGUGGAGCUAUUGAAGCUGCGGUUUGGUGAAGCCCCCAUGCACUUCUGUGAGGUCCUUGCUGCAGAUGCUGCUUUACUGCAAGAACAGAGCUGGAAAAUAGUACAUGAACAAUGA